Non-coding RNA from Nothobranchius furzeri (turquoise killifish), 724 nucleotides. NCBI's taxonomy places the organism in Eukaryota, Metazoa, Chordata, Actinopteri, Cyprinodontiformes, Nothobranchiidae. The record is from RefSeq and is a predicted model, not a curated record.
UGUGUGCGUGCGCGCGCGCGCGUGGUUCGUUCGUUCUGUCUCCAGGCUAGUGGCUAAGUACUGAGGGCUUCAUCUAUCUAAAAGGAGUUAUUUCCAUCUGAAUUUGGCAGCACCGGGACACAGCAGCAGAGCGAGUCCACAUCCAGAAGACUGGAGCCGUGUUUCACUGACAGGCUGUCAGACUAACGCCCUGAUGAGCUCAGCUAGGACAAACUGGUCUGAUGUUUAGGAACACAGAACGUUCAGAUGUUGGCGUUUCACGUCACCUACUGAGGAAGGAGACCCACCAGUAAAGAGACGGUCUGGACCAGACCAAAAAUAUGGCGAUGACAUCAUGGAACUGGUCUUUGGAAAAGUUUUCCCUGAACCAACUCCGUUUCUAGAUGAGGUAGAGAAGAUCUGCAUCUCACCAACCCUCUGGUCUCAGUAUUCAGACAACGGAGGUCUCCCACUGUUGUCCAGGACCAGUUUGAAGCCCACAUACAGCCCCUCCCUCAUCAUCAGGAAACAUCAAUCCGUAUCCUGAGGACAACAGAAGACGGCAGGAGGACAGGAACUCUGAGACCUAGACACCACCAGCACCGAGACACAAAGCACCUGUGUGCACAACGCCUGUUUUAACUACUAAAGCCUGUUUAUUAUAUUGUUCUACUUAUUUGCUGUGAGGUUAAUACUUAGAAAAUUUGUAUAUUAAUGUAAACAAUAAAAAAAAUCACUGAUUGUA